RNAcentral lists this ribosomal RNA (550 nucleotides) under Streptomyces sp. SID14515. RNAcentral's name for it is "partial 23S ribosomal RNA". It matches the Rfam family "Bacterial large subunit ribosomal RNA", at positions 2382 to 2925 of the family's 2925-position model. The record is from RNAcentral. Lineage: Bacteria; Bacillati; Actinomycetota; Actinomycetes; Kitasatosporales; Streptomycetaceae.
CGACGGGUCGAGCAGGGACGAAAGUCGGGACUAGUGAUCCGGCAGUGGCUUGUGGAAGCGCUGUCGCUCAACGGAUAAAAGGUACCCCGGGGAUAACAGGCUGAUCUUCCCCAAGAGUCCAUAUCGACGGGAUGGUUUGGCACCUCGAUGUCGGCUCGUCGCAUCCUGGGGCUGGAGUCGGUCCCAAGGGUUGGGCUGUUCGCCCAUUAAAGCGGUACGCGAGCUGGGUUUAGAACGUCGUGAGACAGUUCGGUCCCUAUCCGCUGUGCGCGUAGGAAUAUUGAGAAGGGCUGUCCCUAGUACGAGAGGACCGGGACGGACGAACCUCUGGUGUGCCAGUUGUCCUGCCAAGGGCAUGGCUGGUUGGCUACGUUCGGAAAGGAUAACCGCUGAAAGCAUCUAAGCGGGAAGCCUGCUUCGAGAUGAGUAUUCCCACCAACUUGAUUGGUUAAGGCUCCCAGUAGACGACUGGGUUGAUAGGCCAGAUGUGGAAGCCCUGUAAGGGGUGGAGCUGACUGGUACUAAUAGGCCGAGGGCUUGUCCUCAGUUG